UUUCCCACCUCUUAAGCAUGAAAACAGCAUCUGUCUUUGAGGCUCUGCAGAACGUUGGGGAGUAAACAUAUUAAUGCAUUAAAAAAUGACCUUAUUGAAAAGUCAAUCACUUCCAACGAGCACAAUUUUCCACCACAUCAAGCAUUCAGGAGGCCAAGUGCAGGUGUAGAUGGCAAAUGGCAGAUGCUGUGUUCCACAAACCUCCUGUGCCACUUGCAAGACACCAAACUCUGUGAUCUGCUGGCAGAUGAACAGGAAGAGCUUUAAGGCUCUUUGGCUUCUGUUAAGGACAUCUUUUUGAUCCAUUUUCCAGCCUCUGGGGCUGCUCCUGUCCCAGGAGACUGAUAAAGGAGUUCAUGAGCAUAGAAGAAAGGAAAGACCGGAAUAUUCAUGUGCUCCAAACUCCUGGGAACUUGCAAGAGGAGAGGAAAAUCUGAGAUACUUUCUCAGUAGGAUUUCCUUACUAAGCAACAUUUUUCUCUUGCGUGUAGACAACUGGUUCAAAGCAGCACCGACACCUCAUGCCAGGCCCUGCUCUCCUUCCGCUCUGUCGUGGUGCAAACCAUGAGCAGAUGGUGCAGUGCAGUGGAAAAUCAGAUCUCCAAGAAAAUACAGAGCUGAGAAUAAAACAGCCCUCGAGGAGAAAGCUGCGUGGUUUAUUUCAGGAUAAGAUGAAAAACUGAGAUCCUUGGGCAAAAAUUAGACUACUCCUUCAGAGUGGAGUAUUCCACUUCUGUGAACUGCCUCGUUCCUUCCCGACUGAGGAAACAUCCAUCCCCUUCACAGCUGAGGGCUCAUCUCGUUUGUUGUCUUUCAGUUCAUUGAUCUGGUUUCUCCAGGCUCCCACGUGACUGUUCUUUGCUGAACUAACAAGCGUGAUUAUCCCUGAAUUUCCUCUCCUUUCGACUUUCUUGCACGCUGACGACAAACCUUUUCAGAAUUCCUUCCCACUUCGGCUGCAGCCUGACCUGAAUUGCUUCCAUCUUUGUUUAAACCCGCUGGGGCAUGAACAUCCAGCCAAGAUAGCUGCAUCCCUAACGUGUGCCUGUGGUGACCCCCCCUGUGUAAUUCAGAUUCCACCUGAAAUCUGUGGAAUUCUCCUUGAUCCUUCUGACAAGGAACCAAACCCAUUCCACAGGAGGGCACUGAAAUGAGCCUUAGAUGGAUGUAAGACCCCAUCAUCAUCAUUAUUUAUGACAACUCCAUGCACCAGACUUGCUGGGAAAAAUCCAAGAUUCAGCCAGUUACUGAAGCAACAAAGAGGAUUCUGCUGCUCCAAAGACUUGCUACUUGUUGAUGACUUGCCAUCCAGCUUUUUUUUUUUUCCAAAGGGAAAAUGAAUGUGGAGGGUACUUGGAGUCAAUUUUUGGUGGGGGAUAUGCAGUCACUGUCUCUGCUGGUAUCAAUGGCCCUUUCACUGUACUGGGCUUUACUGUACAGAGAACAAAACCAGUUUCCAUGGCAGUGUAAAUACAAAUACGUCCCACACUCCAAAGAGUGACUCACACGUGCUGCAGAGAAGAGAGAAACUUCCCUGUCUUAAUCCGAACACAUCUGGGAGAGGAGGAUGAGAUUAUCUCAGUUUGAAAGUAUUCUAUAAAUAUUGUGUAAACCGAGAUUUGCUCUGAAUAAUUCCAUGCCUUGGCAGAGCUGAAAGACAAAUCCUUUGAAGGUAAAGGAAUAAGACAAGGCCAGUGCCUGUUUGCAGUAGCAAUGUUCAAAUCUAUAAUGAUUUUCUUCUUAAAUAUAGACACAACCUGACAGCUCUGGAAGCCGAUACAAAAUUCUCCAUGAGCGGUUUAUCUCACUC
Molecule: long non-coding RNA, 1810 nt
Organism: Myiozetetes cayanensis
Lineage: Eukaryota; Metazoa; Chordata; Aves; Passeriformes; Tyrannidae
Exons: 3
Source: RefSeq, a predicted model, not a curated record